Molecule: long non-coding RNA, 641 nt
Organism: Aethalodelphis obliquidens (Pacific white-sided dolphin)
Lineage: Eukaryota; Metazoa; Chordata; Mammalia; Artiodactyla; Delphinidae
Exons: 3
Source: RefSeq, a predicted model, not a curated record
GUGGGAAGAGACAUUUGUAGUGUGCCGUUGCCCGGUGCAACAGUUCACAAAAAGAAGUUGUGGAUUCUCCCUGAUUGGAGGUUUCUUUUAAAAACAGGUGUUGUGUUGCCUCCCUCUUACCCUAUGAAUCCAUCAACUGGAAACACUGUUGAAGAAAAACCACACAUUCACACCAACAAGCAAGUGGAGAGACCAUCAUUGAGAAUCACGUGCAGGUGAUGAAGCCCAGAAGGCAGAAGCUUCUCUGCUGAGAGACCCAGCAGGAGCAGAACGACUUCAAGGCCCAGAGGACAUCAUGGUGAGGAGAGACUUCCUCCGAGCUUCUUCUAGAACUAACGGUGCCCAGCGCCUCAGGAGCUGCAGCAUUUUGAGCACAGCGGUGGUGCCACAUCCAUCAGUCACGGCAGCAAGAGGUCUUCUUCUGACGGCUGUGAUGCUGGUAGCUGGUAACCUAGGGAAACUAGAACAGGAAAAGAAGAAGAUGAAAAUGUCACACGGGCCCCAUGAUCACCUGGGAGGCUUCCCCUUUGGGGACUGGCAGACGUAAUUGUGGGAACUUGGAUGCUGAGGUCUUGUAAACAUACUGCAGGAGGCAUUGUAAUUUCAGCUUUAAAAAUAAAAGAGGUCAAAUUUUAUAUAAA